RNAcentral lists this ribosomal RNA (1757 nucleotides) under Octactis speculum. RNAcentral describes it as "partial Bacterial large subunit ribosomal RNA". It matches the Rfam family "Bacterial large subunit ribosomal RNA", at positions 27 to 2000 of the family's 2925-position model. The record is from RNAcentral. Lineage: Eukaryota; Dictyochophyceae; Dictyochales; Dictyochaceae.
GAUGCCUUGACACUGAAAGAAAAAACGUUUUUAACGAAAAGUCUGUUUAUGUUAGUAAAUAACUAAAAACAUUCGUUUUACUGGGGGAAACCCUUUCUUUUAAAAAGAAUUUUGUAAAUAGGGUGAAUUGAAACAUCUUAGUAACCCUUAAAAAAAUCAAACGAGACUUUGUUAGUAGUGGCGAGCGAACGCAAAGAAAGGAUAAAUGACAUUUCAAAGAUUAUCUUGAAUUUUUACCAAAGAAGGUUUUAGUCCUGUAAAGUGAUCUUGUCAUUUGAUUAAGUACACCGAUUUUUCUUGGUGGAAUAUUGGGGAACCACCCUCAAUCCUUGAACUUUCAGUGAUCGAUAGCGUAAAAGUACCGUGAGGGAAAGGUGAAAAAAGCUCUUUAUAGAGAUGAAAUUCCUGAAACUUGUUGUUAAAAUUCUGUCGAAGUUUUUUUAACGACGGCGUACCUUUUGUAUAAUGGACCAGCGAGUUUUUAUUUUUGGCAAGCUUAAGCUUUAAAUAAGUGUAGGCGUAGUUAAAUCGAAUGUUAAUGCAUUUUUUAGUCAAAGGUAAAAGACCCGAAACUAAGUGAUCUAAUCAUGAGCAGGUUGAAGAAUUUUCAGUAAUGAGAUUUGGAGGACCGAACCCGUGUAUGUUGCAAAAUACUGGGAUGACUUGUGAUUAGGGGUGAAAGGCCAAUCAAACUUAGAUAUAGCUGGUUUUCCGCGAAAUCUAUUUAAGUAGAGCGUUUUUAUUUUGAUUUAAUGGGGUAGAGCACUCAAUAAGCUAGGGGGGCCUACAGCCUUACCAAACUUAAUGAAACUCCGAAUACGUUAAAUUGUAAAAGCAGACAGACAUUGGAUGCUAAGGUCCUUUGUCGAGAGGGAAACAGCCCAGAUUUACCGAUAAGGUCUUUAAUGAAGCUUAAGUGAAAAAGGUGUCAUUCUACUCAAACAAUCAAUAAGUAGGCUUGGAAGCAGCCAUCUUUGAAAGAAAGCGUAACAGCUCGUUGAUCUAGUUUUUUGGCCCUGAAGAUUUAUAGAGACUAAAAGUUUCAACCGAAUCGUAAAAUUCUAAAUAUUUUUAUUUAGUCUGGUAGCGGAACGUUCUGUAUUUUGUUGAAGCAUUGUUGUCAGAUAGUGUGAAGAAAUCAGAAGUGACUAUGCUGGUAUGAGUAGCGAUAAAUGAUGUGAAAAACGUCAUCGCCGUAAGCCCAAGGUUUUUGAAGCACGGCUAAUCCACUUCAAUGAAAAAUUUGAUUUUUCAACUAAAGACGGCCCCUAAAAAGUUAUGGGCGAAAGCUCUGUUUGAUGGGAAUACUUUUAAGUAUCUUUUAAUGCGUGACAAAAGUUAAAGUUUAUUCUGUUUUUACAGGGUUCAUAAAAUUUUUCAAGAAAUAGCCCAUUAAAAAAUAAAACCGUACUGUAAACCGACACAGGUGGGCCGGUCGAGCAGACUAAGGCGCUUGAGAUAACUUUGUUGAAGGAACUCGGCAAAAUGUCCCCGUAACUUCGGAAUAAGGGGAGACUUUAUUAGGUAACCCUUUUAAAGUCGGCACAGAAUCGGGGGGAGCAACUGUUUAGCAAAAACACAAGUCUCUGCUAAUUUGUAAAAAGAUGUAUAGAGGCUGACGCCUGCCCGGUGCUGCAAGGCGAAGGUACUAUGGUUUUGGCUAUGGUUCUGAACCCCCAGUAAACGGCGGCCGUAACUCUGACGGUCCAAAGGUAGCGAAAUUCCUUGUCGGGGAAGUUCCGACCCGCACGAAAGGC